Molecule: long non-coding RNA, 134 nt
Organism: Rhodamnia argentea
Lineage: Eukaryota; Viridiplantae; Streptophyta; Magnoliopsida; Myrtales; Myrtaceae
Exons: 3
Source: RefSeq, a predicted model, not a curated record
ACAUCAACAUAACCUUUUCUAUAAAUCCAUGCGUGAAUUAUUAAAAUAGGAAUUUUCAGUUCUGCAGUAGCAGAACUACCUCGGGAUUCAAUAUUGAAAUAAUAGAACUACCUGUUAGUCCAAUAGCUAACAAA